UACGUAGGGCGCAAGCGUUGUCCGGAAUUAUUGGGCGUAAAGAGCUCGUAGGCGGCUUGUCGCGUCGGUUGUGAAAGCCCGGGGCUUAACCCCGGGUCUGCAGUCGAUACGGGCAGGCUAGAGUUCGGUAGGGGAGAUCGGAAUUCCUGGUGUAGCGGUGAAAUGCGCAGAUAUCAGGAGGAACGCCGGUGGCGAAGGCGUAUCUCUGGGCCGAUACUGACGCUGAGGAGCGAAAGCGUGGGGAGCGAACAGG
RNAcentral lists this ribosomal RNA (253 nucleotides) under uncultured bacterium. RNAcentral's name for it is "partial 16S ribosomal RNA". It matches the Rfam family "Bacterial small subunit ribosomal RNA", at positions 524 to 776 of the family's 1533-position model. The record is from RNAcentral.